CUAAUAAGACGAGCAAUCGCUCUUUAUUUAAUGAAGAGAGGAAAGUCCGAACCCCCUCCCGCCUAUGGCGGGAUAAAAUAAUAGCGGCUAACAGCCGUCUCCGCCAACAGCUACGCAGUUGCGGGCGGACGAGGUGCGAACAGAAACGGCUUGGACCGAAAGGUUCAGCAUCCCUUCAUGGGAUAAUUUUACAGCAAUGUAAAAAUGAAACGGCUAAAUCCUUAUUGGGCGCAAGAACAAACCCUUCGACAAGCUCAGGGUAAAGCCUGGAAAAUUCAUUUAUGAAUUUUAAAGCUUGAUGAGGGAGCAAAGUAGUUCGCCAGAGCUUAGGAGUAAUUCUAAGCCAAGACAGAUGGUUGCAUAAAACAGAAUUCGGCUUACGGUCUUAUUAGGACA
RNAcentral lists this RNase P RNA (396 nucleotides) under Candidatus Staskawiczbacteria bacterium RIFCSPLOWO2_01_FULL_37_19. RNAcentral describes it as "RNase P RNA component class A". It matches the Rfam family "Bacterial RNase P class A". Rfam says of the family: Ribonuclease P (RNase P) is a ubiquitous endoribonuclease, found in archaea, bacteria and eukarya as well as chloroplasts and mitochondria. Its best characterised activity is the generation of mature 5'-ends of tRNAs by cleaving the 5'-leader elements of precursor-tRNAs. The record is from RNAcentral. Lineage: Bacteria; Candidatus Staskawicziibacteriota.